Molecule: ribosomal RNA, 745 nt
Filed under: uncultured Parvimonas sp.
Lineage: Bacteria; Bacillati; Bacillota; Tissierellia; Tissierellales; Peptoniphilaceae
Description: bacterial SSU rRNA
Rfam family: Bacterial small subunit ribosomal RNA
Source: RNAcentral
GACGAACGCUGGCGGCGUGCUUAACACAUGCAAGUCGAACGUGAUUUUUGUGGAAAUUCUUUCGGGAAUGGAAAUGAAAUGAAAGUGGCGAACGGGUGAGUAACACGUGAGCAACCUACCUUACACAGGGGGAUAGCCGUUGGAAACGACGAUUAAUACCGCAUGAGACCACAGAAUCGCAUGAUAUAGGGGUCAAAGAUUUAUCGGUGUAAGAAGGGCUCGCGUCUGAUUAGCUAGUUGGAAGGGUAAAGGCCUACCAAGGCGACGAUCAGUAGCCGGUCUGAGAGGAUGAACGGCCACAUUGGAACUGAGACACGGUCCAAACUCCUACGGGAGGCAGCAGUGGGGAAUAUUGCACAAUGGGGGGAACCCUGAUGCAGCGACGCCGCGUGAGCGAAGAAGGUUUUCGAAUCGUAAAGCUCUGUCCUAUGAGAAGAUAAUGACGGUAUCAUAGGAGGAAGCCCGGCUAAAUACGUGCCAGCAGCCGCGGUAAUACGUAUGGGGCGAGCGUUGUCCGGAAUUAUUGGGCGUAAAGGGUACGUAGGCGGUUUUUUAAGUCAGGUGUGAAAGCGUGAGGCUUAACCUCAUUAAGCACUUGAAACUGGAAGACUUGAGUGAAGGAGAGGAAAGUGGAAUUCCUAGUGUAGCGGUGAAAUGCGUAGAUAUUAGGAGGAAUACCGGUGGCGAAGGCGACUUUCUGGACUUUUACUGACGCUCAGGUACGAAAGCGUGGGGAGCAAACAGG